GCUGCAACUCGCCUGCAUGAAGGCGGAAUUGCUAGUAAUCGCGAAUCAGAAUGUCGCGGUGAAUACGUUCCCGGGCCUUGUACACACCGCCCGUCACACCAUGAGAGUCGAUAACACCCGAAGCCUGUGAGCUAACCUUAGGGAGGCAGCAGUCGAAGGUGGGGUUGAUGAUUAGGGUGAAGUCGUAACAAGGUACC
This 197-nucleotide ribosomal RNA is filed under the name uncultured bacterium. RNAcentral describes it as "partial 16S ribosomal RNA". It matches the Rfam family "Bacterial small subunit ribosomal RNA", at positions 1304 to 1500 of the family's 1533-position model. The record is from RNAcentral.